RNAcentral lists this ribosomal RNA (468 nucleotides) under uncultured bacterium. RNAcentral describes it as "partial 16S ribosomal RNA". It matches the Rfam family "Bacterial small subunit ribosomal RNA", at positions 28 to 507 of the family's 1533-position model. The record is from RNAcentral.
GACGAACGCUGGCGGCGUGCUUAACACAUGCAAGUCGAACGGAAAGGCCCUGCUUUUGUUGGGUGCUCGAUUGGCGAACGGGGGAGUAACACGUGAGUAACCUGCCCUUGACUGUGGGAUAACUUCAGGAAACUGGGGCUAAUACCGGAUAGGAGCUCCUGCUGCAUGGUGGGGGAUAGAAAGAUUCGGCGGUUGGGGCUGGAUUGGCGGCUUAUCAGCUUGUUGGUGGGGUAGUGGCUUACCAAGGCUUUGACGGGUAGCCGGCCUUAGAGGGUUACCGGCCACAUGGGGACUGAGAGACGGACCAGACUCCUACGGGAGGCAGCGGUGGGGAAUAUUGCACAAUGGGCGGAAGCGAGAUGCAGAGACGCUGGGAGCGGGAUAACGGGUUUCGGGUUGUAAACCGAUUUCGCAUGUGCCGAAGCGUGAGUGACGGUAAUGGGUAAAGAAGCACCGGCUAACUACGUG